This 253-nucleotide ribosomal RNA is filed under the name uncultured bacterium. RNAcentral describes it as "partial 16S ribosomal RNA". It matches the Rfam family "Bacterial small subunit ribosomal RNA", at positions 524 to 776 of the family's 1533-position model. The record is from RNAcentral.
GACGAACCGAGCGAACGUUGUUCGGAAUCACUGGGCGUAAAGAGCGCGCAGGCGGUCGAUCAAGUCGAGUGUGAAAGCCCCCGGCUCAACUGGGGAGGGUCAUUCGAUACUGAUCGACUCGAAGGCAGGAGAGGGUAGUGGGAUUCCCGGUGUAGUGGUGAAAUGCGUAGAUAUCGGGAGGAACACCAGUGGCGAAGGCGACUACCUGGCCUGUUCUUGACGCUGAGGCGCGAAAGCUAGGGGAGCAAACGGG